AUCUAUCUGAUGAAUCCCAGAAAAGAUGAAACGCGCGUCCUGGAU
This is a non-coding RNA of Schistosoma margrebowiei, 45 nucleotides long. NCBI's taxonomy places the organism in Eukaryota, Metazoa, Platyhelminthes, Trematoda, Strigeidida, Schistosomatidae. The record is from Rfam.